UCUGGGGGCCCCACUGCCUGGAGGGGCCCCCCAGAGGCACCUCACGUGACUCCCCAUUGCCCCCUGCCCAGCCCCAAGGCCCCUCAGCCACUUGCCCUGUUCGCCGUCUCUCCAGCUUGUUCUCCUGGCCGGCAAUCCAGGCAGCAGACAAGCUGCAAAGAGCUCCUUUUCUCCCGCCUCUCAGCUGAUCGGCGGGUGGGCGGGGCUUCCACGGAGGUCUGGUGUAGGCCUCUGUGAAUCCUGAACUCGAGUAGGGCCCAAGCCAGCCAGGAAGGAGGAGGCAGCCAGAGAGGCCUCCACUGUUCUCUGCAGCAGAAGACCCCCUGCUGCCAGGCCUCUCGGAUCCUAUGUCUACGUGUCUACAAAAGCCAGGCCAGGAUGCACCUGAGGCUCUCUCUGAUACUCCAGGAUAGAGUUGGCACAAGACCUGCAUUCUUACUCUGAGUGGAACUUUAAAUUGUAACUUUGAAAUAUUUCUCUCUCUCACGCGUGCUCUCUCUGUGCGUGCAUACACAUGUGUUUUCUAGCAUCUUUUAUUAUGAUUUGGAAGAGAGGAUAAUUUGAGUAAUUCAAAAGCUGCAUUUUCAGAACUGCUGUGCUUUCUAGAAUUUACAUCCUCCUUGGAUUAAAUAUGCCUCUUCAUUUGAAGGAAUACUUUUUUUUUUUUUAGUUUGUUUCACUAUGUUGUUCUUGCAGCCAACAACUUUAUUGAUCAAAGUGGAACUGAAAAGAGGAGCUGACAGUGACUGUUCUUUCCAUGAAAAUAGAAAUGCUGGCUCUGCAUCCUCAAACAAUCCACACUUCUUUUUUUCUGCAGAAUUUCAAGUCAUAUGUGAACAGUGAACUAUUGUAAAAUGCAUGUGGGACAACUUCUUUUUUUAAGCAAAAUACCUGGGGGAAACUGACCAUUCAACUUGCAUUGAUUUUUUAAAUCAAAAUCUUAAAAAUAUGUUUAGCCCAUAUCUGGCUGUGUAUCUAUACUAUAUAUCUACUUGUGAAGUCAACAUGAGCUUUGGGUAACCCUGUUAGGAUGCUUCCCAUGGUCAUAGAGCCCAGACCAGCAAGUAUUUUUUUUAAAAACAAAGACCAUAUCUGGAACUGAACAAGAUCUGACAAGCCAGCAAAAUUUGCUCCACCCACUAACUCAUUUGCCUGAAUGUACCAAGAUUCAUUUGAGGGAUGUGCACAAAGUAUGAUUCAAAACACAUCCCCAGCACCUUUAAAACAGAGGAGAACAAGUGCAUACCUGCUGCUCCACCACUUCCUGAAUAUGUGACACUCCUCCCAGUUAUCUUCAUGCACCAGCAGCGCUCUCCUCCAGCUGCCCUUGUGUGACAUCAGCACGCACAUGUCCCCCUGCACAUGCCGAUCCUGAGGGCCCCUUACCUGUCAUGCAUGCAGAACAGGGCCUUCUCUGUUAUUGCCCCCAGACUUUGGAAUGCUCUCACAGUGCAUGCAUUCUGACUUUCUUGGCUACCUUGAAAAAGCAACUAAAGGCCUUGUUGUUUGUUCAGGCCUUUGCUCUUUAGGGGCUACUGGUCUCUUUGUUCUCCAGCGGUUCUGUUUCUGCAUUUAUGGUUGCUGCUUAGUCUGUGUUUUUAUUGUUUGCAUGGUUGCUUUUAAUGUUAUUGUAACAUGACUUCUAUGGAUUUUUGUUCCUUAAAAUUCUGUUAAUUUAUCCCUAAAAAUUUUCGGAUAAAUUUUAUGAAAAGUGUUCUAGAAAUCGAACUGUAAAUAAAAUACAUAAAUAAAAUGAGUGUCAUGGA
This is a long non-coding RNA of Hemicordylus capensis (graceful crag lizard), 1766 nucleotides long. RefSeq lists it as uncharacterized. The record is from RefSeq and is a predicted model, not a curated record. The transcript is spliced from 3 exons. NCBI's taxonomy places the organism in Eukaryota, Metazoa, Chordata, Lepidosauria, Squamata, Cordylidae.